GUAUGGAGAGAAAGAGAGAAACCAAUCCAGCAAUUCAUCACGCAGAAGGAGGUCAUAUUUCGAGAUGCAAGGAUGACACAUGGCUGUAGUUUACAGGAAGGAAUUAGCGGAUCCAUCCUUUUAAGGAGGAAAGAAAUACAAUACACCAUUCCCAUAAUAGUCAAUGGUUCUGGUCAUCCUUUCAGGUGAUACAUAACCAAAGCUUCUGAGGUUUCAGAAGUAUUGACUUGUUCCAAUCAAGAAUAAGGAAACCACUUAUACCUACUAGAUUUUUAACAGUACAGCUGAUCGUAUGGAGAGAAAGAGAGAAAUAAAGCAACAGGAUUGGCUCUUAGAAGCGGUAAGCAACAUUUGAUGAAGGAAACAGGCAGCGUGGACAGUAUUCAAGACACAAUGUUUAAAAGUUGCUGCUGGGAUGGAAGCAAAGAAGAAAGCCCUGGAGACGGGUUAGUGCUGGGACACAGGCACUAUCCUGGAGGGGCCUGGGACAGGGUGUUUAACCAUAGUGACCAGUGGGUCCUUUCCCCACUGUGGUCCUGGCUCGCAUGCACAGGGUGAAACCGAUCGCCAUGUUUGGGGUCAGGAAGGAAUUUUCCUCCAGGGCAGAUUGGCCAGAGACCCUGGAGGUUUUUCGCCUUCCUCUGGGGCAUCGAGCAGGGACCAGCCCUUAGGGCCAUUUAGGAACAGACAUAAUAAAAUCAAUCAGAGAGAA
Molecule: long non-coding RNA, 712 nt
Organism: Mauremys reevesii (Reeves's turtle)
Lineage: Eukaryota; Metazoa; Chordata; Testudines; Geoemydidae
Exons: 4
Source: RefSeq, a predicted model, not a curated record